UGCAAGUCGAGCGGAGACAGUGAGUAGCUUGCUAUGAGCUGUUUUAGCGGCGGACGGGUGAGUAACGCGUGAGCAACCUUUCCCAGACAGGGGAAUAACACACCGAAAGGCGUACUAAUACCGCAUAAGACCACGGGAUCACAUGGUUCUGGGGUAAAAGAUUUAUCGGUUUGGGGUGGGCUCGCGUCCGAUUAGGUAGUUGGUGAGGUAACGGCCCACCAAGCCGACGAUCGGUAGCCGACCUGAGAGGGUGAUCGGCCACAUUGGGACUGAGACACGGCCCAAACUCCUACGGGAGGCAGCAGUGGGGAAUAUUGGGCAAUGGAGGAAACUCUGACCCAGCAACGCCGCGUGGAGGAAGAAGGUUUUCGGAUCGUAAACUCCUGUCCUUGGAGACGAGUAGAAGACGGUAUCCAAGGAGGAAGCCCCGGCUAACUACGUGCCAGCAGCCGCGGUAAUACGUAGGGGGCAAGCGUUGUCCGGAAUAAUUGGGCGUAAAGGGCGCGUAGGCGGCUCGGUAAGUCUGGAGUGAAAGUCCUGCUUUUAAGGUGGGAAUUGCUUUGGAUACUGUCGGGCUUGAGUGCAGGAGAGGUUAGUGGAAUUCCCAGUGUAGCGGUGAAAUGCGUAGAGAUUGGGAGGAACACCAGUGGCGAAGGCGACUAACUGGACUGUAACUGACGCUGAGGCGCGAAAGUGUGGG
This 700-nucleotide ribosomal RNA is filed under the name uncultured bacterium. RNAcentral's name for it is "bacterial SSU rRNA". It matches the Rfam family "Bacterial small subunit ribosomal RNA", at positions 56 to 765 of the family's 1533-position model. The record is from RNAcentral.